GACCCAGUCGUCUAGUCUGGUCCAGGACAUCACCCUCUCACGGUGAAAACCGGGGUUCGAAUCCCCGCUGGGUCA
RNAcentral lists this transfer RNA (75 nucleotides) under Parcubacteria group bacterium SW_4_49_11. RNAcentral's name for it is "tRNA-Glu". It matches the Rfam family "tRNA". From Rfam's summary of the family: Transfer RNA (tRNA) molecules are approximately 80 nucleotides in length. Their secondary structure includes four short double-helical elements and three loops (D, anti-codon, and T loops). The record is from RNAcentral.